Molecule: long non-coding RNA, 1443 nt
Filed under: Gallus gallus (chicken)
Lineage: Eukaryota; Metazoa; Chordata; Aves; Galliformes; Phasianidae
Description: lncRNA (ENSGALG00010025570.1)
Source: RNAcentral
CCGCCGCCGCCUCCGUCAUCCACUCGCCGCAGCAGGCGGCCCUCGCCAAGCCCAAGCUCUGGUCGCUGGCCGAGAUCGCCACCUCGGCGGACAGGGCGAGGGAGGCGGGCGGCGAAACGGCGGCCCCCGGCCCCGCCGUGCUGGGAGGCGGCGGCCCCCCGCGCCCCUCUCCGCCGCGGCCCCGCUCGCCGUCCGCGCAGUGCCCCUUCCCCAACGGGGCGGUCCUGCCGCGGCCGCUCUACUACACGGCGCCCUUCUACCCCGGCUACACGAACUACGGCUCCUUCGGGGCCCUGCACGGGCACCCCGCCGGCGGGCCCGCCGCGCCCGGCGCCGCCUUCAAUGGAUUAAACCAGACUGUGCUGAGCCGGGCCGAGGGGCUGGGGAAGGAGCCCAAGGCGGCCAGGAGCCAGCCCCAGGCAGAGCUCGGCAAGGACUCGCCGUACGAACUGAAGAAAGAAAUACGGAAUGGCCGCGGCGGUUAUUUUUCCACUACCAAAAGAAACGCAAACCGAAACAAACGGCGCCGAGCGGUUUCCCCCCCGCACCCGCAGCGCUCCCCGCGGCCCCCACGGACGUUUGUACGGACCCCUCUGUAUAUUUAAUGUAGCUUUUGUAUUUAAAUUGAUAAUACGGUAUCUUUGAAGUAAAUUAUGAAAUCGAGACACCUGUACAGGCAUUAAUGUUGUUUUCGUAAUAUAAAUAUAUACAUUUCUGUGUCUUUUUCCGAAUUGUUUCAUAGUUUUAAAAAUAUAUAUAUACAAGUUUAAUUUAAUUUUUUAUGGCUAGUGUUUUUUUUUUUCCCCUUGGGCGUGCGCUAAAUUGUAACGAAAAAAAAAAGGGCAAGGAACGGGUCCCACUUCUGGGAUACAGCGCUCGUCGGGAAAGGGGCGGGCGGCAGAACGCAGCCCCGCUCUCUUCCCGCAGCGGGCGCGGGGCCGAUCCCGCACGUAACCUCAUUACCCGCAAUCAGUGCCGCGUUUCACGCGAAGCGAUCCGCUGCUCGACUUCGCUAAUGAGUUCGAUUUUCUGCCAGCUUUCCCCUCGCUGGCGGUGCCCGGGGCCGCGGCCGCGGGGGUAGCGCUCGGGGCCCCCUCCCGGGCCCGCGGUGCUUGCGGGCGGCGGCAGAAAAAGAGCGUUAAUCUGCCCCAUCUCGGGGCCCGAGGAUCGGAGCGGAGGAGACAUUCACUGCAAGCACGUAGGGGAAUAAGGGUCUCGCUUUAUUGAAUCAUCAAAUCCCAGGAACGAAGCUCUUAAUUAAUUAUGGGUGCUAAAAAUUCAGGCCAGCUGCUACUUUUUACUCGGCUCUGACAGAGAAAGACAAAGUCUGCGGCGAGCUCCUCCGAGGCGCUCCGCAUAAAUCAGCGCUCCCGGCCCGCGGGGACAGAUGGCGCCUCGGCCCCGCGCCGCCCGCAUUCCUCCACCGCACCGCGGCGGUGCGGG